UACGAAGGGAGCUAGCGUUGUUCGGAAUCACUGGGCGUAAAGCGCCCGUAGGCGGAUGUGUCAGUCAGGGGUGAAAUCCCGGAGCUCAACUUCGGAACUGCCUUUGAUACAGCACAUCUGGAGUCCGGAAGAGGUGGGUGGAAUUCCUAGUGUAGAGGUGAAAUUCGUAGAUAUUAGGAAGAACACCGGUGGCGAAGGCGGCCCACUGGUCCGGUACUGACGCUGAGGUGCGAAAGCGUGGGGAGCAAACAGG
RNAcentral lists this ribosomal RNA (253 nucleotides) under uncultured bacterium. Its description in RNAcentral is "partial 16S ribosomal RNA". It matches the Rfam family "Bacterial small subunit ribosomal RNA", at positions 524 to 776 of the family's 1533-position model. The record is from RNAcentral.